AUUGAACGCUGGCGGCAGGCUUAACACAUGCAAGUCGAGCGGGGGAAGGUAGCUUGCUACCGGACCUAGCGGCGGACGGGUGAGUAAUGCUUAGGAAUCUGCCUAUUAGUGGGGGACAACAUCUCGAAAGGGAUGCUAAUACCGCAUACGUCCUACGGGAGAAAGCAGGGGAUCACUUGUGACCUUGCGCUAAUAUAUGAGCCUAUGUCGGAUUAGCUAGUUGGUGGGGUAAAGGCCUACCAAGGCGACGAUCUGUAGCGGGUCUGAGAGGAUGAUCCGCCACACUGGGACAGAGACACGGCCCAGACUCCUACGGGAGGCAGCAGUUGGGAAUAUUGGACAAUGGGGGGAACCCUGAUCCAGCCAAGCCGCGUGUGUGAAGAAGGCCUUAUGGUUGUAAAGCACUUUAAGCGAGGAGGAGGCUCUUUUGGUUAAUACCCAAGAUGAGUGGACGUUACUCGCAGAAUAAGCACCGGCUAACUCUGUGCCAGCAGCCGCAGUAA
RNAcentral lists this ribosomal RNA (503 nucleotides) under uncultured bacterium. RNAcentral's name for it is "partial 16S ribosomal RNA". It matches the Rfam family "Bacterial small subunit ribosomal RNA", at positions 30 to 523 of the family's 1533-position model. The record is from RNAcentral.